Molecule: ribosomal RNA, 26 nt
Filed under: Biomphalaria glabrata
Lineage: Eukaryota; Metazoa; Mollusca; Gastropoda; Planorbidae
Description: partial 28S ribosomal RNA
Source: RNAcentral
ACUUCGACCUUAGAUCAGGCGAGAAU